GUGCCAGCCGCCGCGGUAAUACGUAGGGAGCAAGCGUUGUCCGGAAUCAUUGGGCGUAAAGCGCGCGUAGGCGGCCCUGUAAGUCCGCUGUGAAAGUCAAAGGCUCAACCUUUGAAAGCCGGUGGAUACUGCAGGGCUAGAGUCCGGAAGAGGCGAGUGGAACUCCUGGUGUAGCGGUGGAAUGCGCAGAUAUCAGGAAGAACACCAACGGCGAAGGCAGCUCGCUGGGACGGUACUGACGCUGAGGCGCGAAAGCGUGGGGAGCGAACAGGAUUAGAUACCCCUGUAGUCC
Molecule: ribosomal RNA, 292 nt
Filed under: uncultured bacterium
Lineage: Bacteria
Description: partial 16S ribosomal RNA
Rfam family: Bacterial small subunit ribosomal RNA
Source: RNAcentral